Molecule: ribosomal RNA, 244 nt
Filed under: uncultured bacterium
Lineage: Bacteria
Description: partial 16S ribosomal RNA
Rfam family: Bacterial small subunit ribosomal RNA
Source: RNAcentral
CACGCCGUAAACGAUGAUAACUGGAUGUUCGGAUUUAGGUUCGAGCGUCUGAGGGAAACCAUUAAGUUAUCCACCUGGGGAGUACGACCGCAAGGUUGAAACUCAAAGGAAUUGACGGGGGCCCGCACAAGCGGAGGAACAUGUGGUUUAAUUCGAUGAUACGCGAGGAACCUUACCCGGGCUUGAAAGACUAUUGCAUAGAGUAGAGAUAUUCUUUUGUAGCAAUACACCAUAGUCUAGGUGC